GGUUGUAGCUUAGUGGUAAAGCACUUGCUUAGCAUGUAUGAGGCACUGGGUUUGAUCCUCAGCAUCA
Molecule: transfer RNA, 67 nt
Filed under: Marmota monax (woodchuck)
Lineage: Eukaryota; Metazoa; Chordata; Mammalia; Rodentia; Sciuridae
Description: tRNA.Ala
Rfam family: tRNA
About the family: Transfer RNA (tRNA) molecules are approximately 80 nucleotides in length.
Source: RNAcentral